CUUUUUUAAUAUUAUCUUCCAUCAUGUUCUCUUCCAAGAGACUAGAUAUAGUUCCCUGUGCUGUACAGUAGGACCUCCUUUCUUAUGCAUUCUGCAUGUAAUAGUUUGCAUCUCCUAACUCCAAACUCCCCAUCCAUACUUCUCUCUCCCCCUCCCCCUUGGCAACCCAAGCCUGUUCGCUAUGUCUGUUACGUAUUCUCUUUUGGAGUCUAGCGUGAGAUAGGGUGGAGCUGACCCCACCUGAGUAACAGACCUAUGAGUGGGAAGGAGGAAUUAUCUAAAGGAAAAGAGCUGCUGUUGCCAGGAGGCCAGAGAACAGAUGCUGAGCAGUCAAAACCCACGAGGUCCGCUUAAGAGAGCAGGAGAAAAAGAUGGGCAAAGUAGUGUCCUCAAACUUUUGCUUUUCAAAGUCCAAAUAGCCCUGGGGUAUUUCUCAUCUAACUCAGCAGGUGGUUGUUGGGGCAAGAGGUCAUGCUGGAUUUGCCUCCCAUCUUUCCUUUCUUUCUCAGGCACUGAGUUGGGUGUUUUACCUGGUGUUACAAUCACACUUUUCUUGGUAGAACUACUUCGUGUUCAUUUAGAUGGUUUCCAUUCUGCCAGUGGUUCCAUGUCAAAGUUCGUGUGGCUUUGAUAAGUACCACAUUCAAUGUCUCAAGUGUUAAAUGACUGAGGCCAUUGUAAGUCAGGAGCACAUUAUCAUUUUCCUCAUUUCUAAAAUGAAAAUUUGGAGGGGAUACAUUCUAAGAUUUAUUCAAAGUCCAUCAUAAUAUGAGUCUAUGAUUUUAAGUUUCAGGCUAGAUCACAGCAGUUGUUUUUUAAAAGUAGAAAAACAAUUUUCUAUUUUUUUUCUUUUUUAUGCCCACAUCUGCAGCAUAUGGAAGUUCCCAGGCCAGGGGAUUGAAUCUGAGCUGCAGGUGUGACCUAUGCCACGGUGGUGGCAAUGCCGGAUCCUUUAACUCACUGCACCAGGCCAGGUAUCAAACCCAUGCCUCUGCAGUAACAUGAGUCUCUGCAGUCGGGUUCUUAACCUACUGCACCACAACAGGAACUCCUCUACUCUUUUGACAAUAUACCUUGAUUCUACACUGAGAUAAAUAUUUCUAUUUUUUUAAUUUUUAAAAAGUUAUAGAAUGGAAACAAAAACAUUAAGACUUUGUCACUCUGGCUGUCACAUUUAAGAUAGAGCCAUUCCUGGAGUUGCUAUGAGUCUAUAAAAUGUUAAGCUGGCAAAGAAAAAAAAAUGAGAGAGUAAAAUAUAUAGUACAUAUAUGUAUCUAUAUAUCCAGGGAUUUUAACUUAUGGGGGCUGGUUGCCAUUUCAACUUGUUUACCAGAAUCAACGAGUCCAGUUGCCAAAAUUGGAGGUUAAGUAUAGAACCCCAGGAAAAAUAUUUCUAAGCUUUAUUUUUAAAACACAUUUUCUUACAAAUGCUUUUGAAUAACUGACAUUUCAUUGCUUCCCUCUCUCCACUUACCUAUCCUCUGAGGAAUCUAAGCUCCUUUGAAUCAAAUUGGAGGGUUCCAGCACCAUAUUUGUCAAGUGUUUUCCUAUCAUAUUUUUAAUGAAAUAGUUAUGAGCGAUUUGAGGUUCCCCCUCCCUGUUGGAAUGUAAACUCCUUGAGGGCAAGGUCUAUUUUCCGUGUUAUUUCUUGUUGAACUCCUUGUACCUAGCACAGAGCCUGACUGAAUCCACACAUGGAAAUCUUUGGGCUCACAUUAGGCUCUUGUUAUUUUAGGGAUGCCCUUAUCAGGAAUGGCUGCCGUCAACCGUGGUUUAGGGGUUUUUCUACUAUAAUGUUUUGAAAAUGGCAGUAACUAUAGAGUUUUUGUUUAACACAUUAUUGAAAAACCUUGGGGUUCAGAGAAUGGGGAUGAUUUGAAGAGAGAGAAAGAAUUUAUUUAUAUAAGCCCUAAAGGACACUCCCUCCUCGGGGUAACUGUCCUGGGACAAGCUAGCAAUAUCACUCCUCCCCCCCCCCGCCCCCCGUAGCUUAACAUGUCUACAGGCUUGGGCACAUAAGGGGUAAGUCUUCACAAAAUUCAAUCUGCUUGAAAGUGGUAGCAGCAAUACCAUGUUUGGAGAAAUCCCAUUGUCUUAUAAAUGAAACCAAAGGAUCACAAAACCAACUAUUGAUAAUUUCUAGCUGAAAUACAACAUCUGGGCAAGAUUUCAGAGCUUCAUUUCCUCACUAUGCCAAAUGGCUCAUCUGGAAGCAGUCGGCCCAAGAUUUAAGAGGUGAUAGUGGUCCCUUUACUCAUUCAGUCCUUGGUCCCCCUGGAGCUUCCUGCCACAGCAAUGAUGAGUGAUAAUUGCUUCUGGGUUUUUGUAGUGCGGUCCAUGGUAUUUUAGGUGUUUGCUUUGACCACUAACAGAUUUCGUCUAGAACAUAUCAAUGAUGACAAUUGAUUACUUCUAACAGAUUUUGAGUUGAUUGGUGACCUGAAGGAAAAGUUCCUAUUGCCUAUUCUAUGAAGCAUAUAACUUCCUACCAUCCUUAUAGCCCUUGUUCAUUUCCCCACAUGUUGUAGUAUUUAUUUUCUGUUGUUGCUUAGGUCUAAAUAUAAAUUUGGGUUAUGGUGUCAAAUUCUUCACUUGAUCAAAAGCAACUAGUGUCCUCUGUGAACCUGCCCUUAAAGAACUGACUUAAGGAAAACUUGAUUUCCCUGAGAAGAUGUUCUUAUCUACCUAACUUUGAAAAUACAGAUACAAAUGUUUCAUACCCUUAUGGUAAAGAGAUAGGAUUUGUAGCAUGAUGGAUGAUUGAGAGCUCGGUUCUGGAAUCAGACAAACUUGAACUGGACUCCUGGGUUUGCUGCUUGUGGUUCUGACACUGAGGUGGGAUCUUUAGUGCCCAGAGUCUCUGAGUUACAAGAAGGCAUGUUUAGCACAGGGCUAAGCUUACAUAGGAAGUGGCCCAUAGAUGUUACCUUAAAAAAGAUGGAUUUUUAUUGCUAAAAAAUUAACAGAUAUACAGACAACUGAAAGAUCUUGGAAAAGAGGUAGAAGGAAUCAAGUAAACUAUUCACUGGUGUAAAAUUCAGAUAUGAUUUAUGGAGAAGGAAAAAAGUUGCAUCAAAAACAAAUUACUUUCUAAAAAAUGAUACUCCUUUAGUUUUUGUUAAGGGUCAGUUUAAGCAAGUCACAUGAAGAAUAUCUGUAUUUUUUUGUAAAAGAGCAGUAAAAGAUACCCAAUAUCAUAUUCAGAGUUUCUCAACAAUUCACAGAAAGCUCUUUUACUACAUAAUAAGAAUUAUGUAUAACCCAUUUUUUUUUUCCCUUUCACCUUGUUUUUCAAGAAGCUGAACAUUAAAUUCAGUGUUCAAAUGGUGGUAGCCAUAAUAGAGUAUUUUUUGUUCUUCUCCAUGAAUUUUUGACUUCUAUUUUAGUGUCAAUAUGUGUUUUAUCUUGCAGUGCCUACAUUUUGGGGGCAAAGAGAAAAGAUCAGUUACUUAAGGAAUGGCUUCUAGAGUUUGUCUAUAAUAUUCCAGCUUUUUUUUUUUUUCUCAAGAAAAUACCAAAAUUGGCAUUUGAAGAAUGCUUUGAACUCUUUCUGCAGAAAAGUGCUAGGUAAUGUUAACACAAUAUAUUUAUUUUCACAAGCACAAGUGAAGCUUGUUAGAUAUUCUUAUAAAGAGGGUUCCCUCUGGUAUACGGCGGAAUGAGACUUCUAUGAUGUUUGUUACUUUGUGAUAUUUCAUUUUUUUUCAAAUUUGGGCUCAAAUUAUUAGGCCCAUGUAUAUGAAAGAUUAUAUGUAAAAAUGAUGCCUAGUUUGAAUAUGGAAGAGAGUGCCUCUUUAUAUAACCACAUUCUCAUCUGGAGUAUGAGCUUACACGGGGAUCCAGGAGGCAAAAUGAUGUGUUGGGAGAAAAAAAAUCUCAAGUUUCAGAGUCAAAAUGAGGUUCAUACCCAAAUUUCAUCACCUGCUAAAUAGAUUAGCCUUACUUUUCUCUUCUGUAAAAUGGUGAUAAUAAUAUUUACUUUAUAUGGCUGUCCUGAAUAUUUACUUUGUCUGAAUCAGUGAUGACUCUUAUUUGUCUAGGCUGCUGGCCUUAUGGGAGUUGGCUAGCUCCCAGCUGCUCAGAAACUUGGGUAAGAUCUAAUGGAGUGAGUGAGGUGGGAUCAUCACAGAAACAUAAAAUGAUACUGUUCCUCAGGGUCUCGCCUAGGCAACAGCCCCUAGCAGGUCUCUCCUUCUUGGUCUUCCCACAUUCUCCGCCCUCACACAGGAGUGCUGCUGCUGUGGUGGAAUAAGAUGGGAGGUGGGAUUUUUCGGGCAGAUGCUUUACCUGGAGCUCCUUCAUUUUUUGGGAGGCACCUGCUCUCCCCGUUGUGGGAUGUGGGUGGAGCUUCUGUGUACAACUCUGCUCCCCCUGUUUUAAAGGCAGAAUUAUCCAUCACUGUGUCCACUGGGAUUAAAAAAACUUUUUUUGAUUGCUCAGCAGAGAGGCAGAAAAUUAUAUUCCUUAUUUCUAUUAAUUUCUGGAGUUGAAUCAUAUAUUAUGGAAAAGUUGGUUUAAAAGUGUACUGGCUCUACAGUAUUUUAAAGGGAUUGCUGUAAAGUAUGGUGCAUUGGAGGCAUCACAACAACGUUCAAGCCCCUGUUGCAGCCUCUCGUUGACCUGCCAAUCCCAUGUACCUGAGCAAGUGUCUGCUUUGUGCUGGGUGUCUAUAGAUCAAGGCGCUGAGGAGGGGAGAAUGAGGACAUCACCUUGACCUAUCCCUUGCACAAUACACUUUUACACUCAAAUCUAGCAUUGCUUCAAAUUAAAAAUUAUCUCACUUUGGAUUCAGAUAUUUGAAUGUAGUGAAAGACAUGAUAUUCAAGGCUUUGGGGUCAGUUUGGGCACAACUGCUUCUCCAGCCACCCUUAUUUCUUUUUUAGUGGGCACUGAGGAGACUUGUUCCGUUUUGCACCCUCAAAGUCUUUGCUUUCACAUGCUCUGGGCUCCUUGCUUGCCAACCCUUUAGUAAUCCCCUCCCCGCCCCCCCCCCCCAUUCCUCCACUCAAGAAGGCAGAAUCAGCUUGGCAAACGGAGUUAUUUUGUAAAAUGAUAUCUUUUCUUCGGCUCUCUGCUGAAAAGCUGUAGAAUUUGUGGUUGUGUUGGUGUCUCUUUUCCUGUUUGGAAAGGCUGCAUCUUUAUGAAAUCCUGUGGUGAGAUUUCUUGCAUUUGAAUUUAACAGCUUAUUGUGAACAUACUAGGAAUUUGGGAGUUCACUUAAGCACUGAACUUUUGCAUACCCCAAACCAUAAAGGUAUGCACUAGAUUACUGACAUGGUUUCCUUCUGACCCUCUCAAUUCCUUUCCCUCUAAAAUUAGAUUUUCUUGUUUGGGUUAGUAAAGCAUGCGGUUGCAGACCCUCCUAGAGCUAUUGUGAAAUAUUAGGUCUGUACUUCCGGAGGCGCUAGCCACUGGCUGUAACCCAAUUCUGAUGGGAGAGUGAGUUGUGCAUAUGACUGACAUUACAAAUGCAAUGAAAGUAAAACAACCCUCUGAAAAAAGAGCAAGCAGUUAUUUUUCAGUGGUGGGAAGAAGUUGCAGGUGUGCCUGAUGUUUUUAAAGCUCUCAAUUAUUGAUCUUGUCUUAAGACUUACAAAUAGAACCAUUAACAUGUCAGUGUUACCCGGAUAACAGAUGAUUAUUGUCCAUCUUUAAACUGUACUUAGCACUAAAAUGUAUAUGUAAUGUACUCAAAAAGGCCAGCUUUAUCACACUUCCUCAGGGUUUUACAGGAAAGAAUUCCUUCUUUCAUUCAUUUUUUCCUUGGCCCUCCUCCCUCCCCACUGCCCCCACCCCACAUUUAUUCCCUUUGCUAAGCGGUAGAAAUUCCUACUGGACAUUCCAGCCACUAGCUGGCAGACAAAACAAACACAAAAUUUACAGCUUUACGGUGGAAAUAUCUUAGGACACAACUUUUAAACCUGCAGUAACUACUGCCUUCUGAACUAUGGAGCUCAUCAUGGCGAGUGAAGCCAGUUAAAGUACUAUAACACCUAGGGAUUUUAGUUCAAUUUCACUGUAACCUCAAUUUUACUACCAUAAGUCAAGUUUGUCGUCAGAGAGCUCCACAUUACACUUGAUGGGCAGAUUCAUCUGCCUUCACUCUGUGAAUGCGGUCAAUGCAUGAGCAGCAAGGCAGUAAUACAUCUUUAUUUAAGCCAAGUCUUGGAUUCAGUCCCAAAUGACAUAAUCUCCCAUAAGCUGGGAAAUCUGGUCUAGACCACAGAAUGUUAUGGGGUGCACACCUGUUCAGAGAAGCAUAGUCAAAGGAUAGUUAACAGCAUUUCAUUAUCAUCCUCGGGGAAUAGAAUCAGUCACACUUGGCAGGAGUUGGACCUGGGCCUGGAGCUACUUGACAUUUUUAUAUAACAAAUUAAAAUAUUCGAUAGCAUUGUUGCAAGGGGAUCUAUGUUUUUGGUAAGAGUGAAGCACCAAUUUUUGUACUGUGCUACUAUCUGUUCCCAGCUGUAGUUAGGAGGGGUUAGUUGGAGAAACUAAGGCAGAUAAACCAUCUAUGAUUUAUAGUAAUACAGAUUCCUGGUGAAGAAAGCUUUGAAAAUGGAGAUGGUUGUGAGGAGGAAAUAGAAAAGAAGAGCUGGGAUGCUGUGGAGAAAGAAAUAUCAAAGACCCAGUGAUUUCACUGAGUUUGUCCAUUCGUUCAUUGAUUUUUUUCAGUUUUUACUCAUUUGUCCCUGCAUGACCAAGUGCUUAUGUUUGAGGUACUAUGGCAGGUGCUUUGGACAAUGCAAUGAAUAAGACAUGGUUCUUCACUACAGGGAAAUAGGUAGGGCUGAGAAGGGGACUCUCAAAGGUAAAAAUUAGGGAUUAGGAGAAUGGUGUUUCUUCUUUCAAGAGGAGAGGGUGGGGAGGGGGCUCUUGAAAUGAUUUGUUCUUAUGUACUGUGUUUGAGUAUGGGCCUCUCACAGAGAUGAGGAAGAAAAGCGGUGAAGGGUUAGAGCCAACCUAACCACCCACUUGGUGGCAAGAAAGUGAAACUCCAGGGCCAGAUAAGCUUCUUGAGAGAGGGACUAAGCAGUAGACUUGAAAGGGGAUCUUUGUAGCAUUGGGCGUGGGGUGAAGCAGGGGAGGGUAGCUGAUAAGGUAGGCAAUAGAGACCGAAGGAAGCCAUUUCUACCCAACCAGGUUGACCUAAAGAAACCAGUUAGGAUAAAGUUGUUAGAGAUAUCCCUAAACUCGCUGCUACAAGAUGGACAUUUAGGAAGCAAGCCUGUUGAACAGACCGCAAUUACCUGGACUCGCAUAAGAAAAUAAUCUGGAACUAGAACAGCAGUCUUGAUAAUGUGGAAGAACCAAGUGGGGCUCACACAGUUAUAUAUAUUGUCUACCGAGUGCUUUUGUGGGCACUAUGGGAAUCUCAAGACGUAAAGAAGUGUAUCAGGAGAAGAACAUUUAACACAGUUUAUGUGUUGGAACCUAUAAGAUGAAAAGAAUGCAAGUUCUUUAGAUCUCUAGUAAAGAAGGCUGAAGGGGCAAAAUGAAUAAGUUAAACAGAUGUCUAGUAACUAGAUGCCAGACUCCAUAAUAUUU
RNAcentral lists this long non-coding RNA (7548 nucleotides) under Sus scrofa (pig). RNAcentral describes it as "lncRNA (ENSSSCG00060057786.1)". Lineage: Eukaryota; Metazoa; Chordata; Mammalia; Artiodactyla; Suidae. The record is from RNAcentral.